UGGAUCAACGAUGACCAUUGAUGACGUAUGAGUCAUAUAUGAUGAAUACGUGUCUGGAACAUGGUCCAA
Molecule: small nucleolar RNA, 69 nt
Organism: Hippopotamus amphibius kiboko
Lineage: Eukaryota; Metazoa; Chordata; Mammalia; Artiodactyla; Hippopotamidae
Product: small nucleolar RNA SNORD113/SNORD114 family
Exons: 1
Source: RefSeq, a predicted model, not a curated record